UCAAAAAAAACUAGGUUGGAUGUAAUGAUAUUCAUAAUAUAACGAAUAUCAUCAUUUCAAUUAUGUUAAUCAUAACACACCUAUUAUUAAUAUCUAAACACUGUAUUUAAUACAAUAUCAAAAAUAUUCAUAAUAUCAAAAUAUGUAACUAACCACAACACAUCUUUGUACCCCAUUAUAAUAAUCAAAAUUAUACUUAUUAAUAGUAGUAAUAUUUAUACUUACUUUUAAUCAAAUGUCAUUACUAUAUCUAAUACACUAAUAUUACGACUUUUAUAACAACAUAUCUGUACCCAUGAACUUCAAUAUUAUAUAAAAUUACUAUUAAAUCUAUUUAUUCCUAUACAUAUAUAUACCAUAAGCCAUAUAAAAAAAUAUGCGUUAAUAAAAACACGCACCUUUUACCUAUGUACCUUGAUAAUAAACGACAAUAACAUAACAAAUCUGUCAACAAGUACCAAGGGUCAAUACUAUAAGUAGAGCCCUCUUUACAUGAUACACCCAGUCUGCUAACAUCAUUCUAGCCUGUCAUAUACCUUUUACACCGACUUAUUGAGUUGAUCGCUAUAUCCUCCAUUCACGGAUCAUUGCUGCUUGGUUGACGGAAAUUGUUACUGUUAUAAUUUCUUACAAAUUAAAAACAUUAAGUGUUAUAAAUUAAUUUUAUUCAAUACCUUUUGAUUUCAAAAGAUCUUUGUAACCUACCAUCAAUCAACCAACUUCGACACAGUUAAGGAGUCGUACUUUAUAAGACUACAACAAUUAAACAAAUAAAGAAAAAACAUGGCUUUUAUUUCGUCAUUUAACAAUAUAGCAAAAUAUUUCCAUGUACGUAAUGAUAAACCAGUGAUUGACGAUUAUAUAUUUCAAUUUCACUACAAACUAACCACUAACAUUUUAUUAAUGUUUUGUGUGUUAUUAACAUCGAUAAAUUUAAUAGGUAAUCCAAUACAAUGCAUGACGAAUUUAUCGAAAAAAGAUGACGUGCGAAAGGUUAUAAACACUUAUUGUUGGAUAUCCAGUACAUUCACUUAUAACAACAAUCCAGACUUUCAUCAAUCCUCUAAUAUAAAUGAAGAUAAAAUAAAAAUUAGAUACCAUUCGUACUACCAAUGGGUACCAUUUAUGCUAUUUUUUCAAGCCAUUACUUUUUAUGUGCCACAUUGGAUAUGGAAAAUGUGGGAAGGAGGAAAAAUACGUAUAAUAACGAAUGAUUUGAGAGGACUUAGUAUGGAUUCUGUUCAGGAGAGGCUAGCAAAACAAAAUAAAUUGGUACAAUAUUUUAUCGAGAGUUUCCACAUGCACAGCACUUAUGCGCUCGGCUAUAUUUUCUGUGAAAUAAUAAACGUGAUCAAUAUAUGUGCCAACAUUUAUGUUACCAAUAAGUUUAUUGGUGAAUAUUUUUUGACAUAUGGAUUUGAAGUUUUCAAAUAUAAUGAAAACGAUCAAAAUCAUACUGACCCGAUGGAAGAAAUUUUUCCUCGACUUACAAAAUGUAAUUUUUACAAGUAUGGAUCAUCGGGCACCAUUCAGAAAAUGGAUGCUUUGUGCAUACUCGCUCAAAAUGUUUUAAAUGAAAAAAUAUAUCUGUUCUUGUGGAUUUGGUUUUUUAUGCUAGCUAUUAUGUCCAUAUUAGCACUGCUAUACAGAAUCGCUAUUAUAACGCAAAUUAUUAAGAAGACCUCUUCAUUCAAUAACAUAUUCAAGUUAACAAAUAAUACAUUAAUGAUGUCCAGCCUUUUCCGGAAGUGUCAAAUCGGUGAUUUUUUACUCCUUCAUCUUAUCGAGAAGAAUGUUAAUCAUUUUCAAUUUAAAGAAAUAAUGAAAGAAAUAUGUGCAAAUUUGAAUUUGGAAAAUUCCUAUGAUCUUCAUCUAGAUUUUGUCCCGUAUUAAAAUGUAAUGAUUGUUGACUGUUAAUAAUUAGAACUGAGCAAUUUUUUACCAUUGUACCUAUUUGUGUUUCAAAUUGAAUAAUUUAAGAAUUUAAAUUAAGUUACUACCACUACAAUUAUUUACUCCAGAUAUGUGGAUACUCCAGAUACUCUACUGUUACGCGGUUACUACUCUAUUUAAUGAU
Molecule: unclassified non-coding RNA, 2077 nt
Filed under: Sipha flava (yellow sugarcane aphid)
Lineage: Eukaryota; Metazoa; Arthropoda; Insecta; Hemiptera; Aphididae
Description: innexin inx3-like, transcript variant X4
Source: RNAcentral